RNAcentral lists this ribosomal RNA (652 nucleotides) under uncultured bacterium. Its description in RNAcentral is "bacterial SSU rRNA". It matches the Rfam family "Bacterial small subunit ribosomal RNA", at positions 172 to 859 of the family's 1533-position model. The record is from RNAcentral.
GAUGAUGACGAAAGUCCAAAGAUUUAUCGCCAGAGGAUGAGCCCGCGUUGGAUUAGGUAGUUGGUGGGGUAAAGGCCUACCAAGCCGACGAUCCAUAGCUGGUCUGAGAGGAUGAUCAGCCACACUGGGACUGAGACACGUCCCAGACUCCUACGGGAGGCAGCAGUGGGGAAUAUUGGACAAUGGGCGCAAGCCUGAUCCAGCAAUGCCGCGUGAGUGAUGAAGGCCCUAGGGUUGUAAAGCUCUUUUACCCGGGAAGAUAAUGACUGUACCGGGAGAAUAAGCCCCGGCUAACUCCGUGCCAGCAGCCGCGGUAAUACGGAGGGGGCUAGCGUUGUUCGGAAUUACUGGGCGUAAAGCGUGCGCAGGCGGUUGUGUAAGUCUGAUGUGAAAGCCCCGGGCUUAACCUGGGAACUGCAUUGGAGACUGCACGGCUAGAGUGCGUCAGAGGGGGGUAGAAUUCCGCGUGUAGCAGUGAAAUGCGUAGAGAUGCGGAGGAAUACCGAUGGCGAAGGCAGCCCCCUGGGAUGACACUGACGCUCAUGCACGAAAGCGUGGGGAGCAAACAGGAUUAGAUACCCUGGUAGUCCACGCCCUAAACGAUGUCAACUAGCUGUUGGGGGUUUGAAUCCUUGGUAGCGUAGCUAACGCG